This 799-nucleotide ribosomal RNA is filed under the name uncultured bacterium. RNAcentral describes it as "bacterial SSU rRNA". It matches the Rfam family "Bacterial small subunit ribosomal RNA", at positions 9 to 785 of the family's 1533-position model. The record is from RNAcentral.
GAGUUUGAUCCUGGCUCAGGACGAACGCUGGCGGCGUGCCUAAUACAUGCAAGUCGAACGCACGAAGUUGAAGAGCUUGCUCUUUAACCAAGUGAGUGGCGGACGGGUGAGUAACACGUGGGUAACCUGCCCAUUAGAGGGGGAUAACAUUCGGAAACGGAUGCUAAUACCGCAUAGUUUCAGGAAUCGCAUGAUUCUUGAAGGAAAGGUGGCUCCGGCAACCACUAAUGGAUGGACCCGCGGCGUAUUAGCUAGUUGGUGAGGUAAUGGCUCACCAAGGCAAUGAUACGUAGCCGACCUGAGAGGGUGAUCGGCCACACUGGGACUGAGACACGGCCCAGACUCCUACGGGAGGCAGCAGUAGGGAAUCUUCCGCAAUGGACGAAAGUCUGACGGAGCAACGCCGCGUGAGUGAAGAAGGUUUUCGGAUCGUAAAACUCUGUUGUUAAAGAAGAACAAGGAUGAGAGUAACUGCUCAUCCCCUGACGGUAUUUAACCAGAAAGCCACGGCUAACUACGUGCCAGCAGCCGCGGUAAUACGUAGGUGGCAAGCGUUGUCCGGAUUUAUUGGGCGUAAAGCGAGCGCAGGCGGUUCUUUAGGUCUGAUGUGAAAGCCCCCGGCUCAACCGGGGAGGGUCAUUGGAAACUGGAGAACUUGAGUGCAGAAGAGGAGAGUGGAAUUCCACGUGUAGCGGUGAAAUGCGUAGAUAUGUGGAGGAACACCAGUGGCGAAGGCGACUCUCUGGUCUGUAACUGACGCUGAGGCUCGAAAGCGUGGGGAGCAAACAGGAUUAGAUAC